This 72-nucleotide transfer RNA is filed under the name Aspergillus clavatus NRRL 1. RNAcentral's name for it is "tRNA-Pro (TGG) (tRNA-Pro-TGG-1-1, tRNA-Pro-TGG-1-2)". It matches the Rfam family "tRNA". Rfam says of the family: Transfer RNA (tRNA) molecules are approximately 80 nucleotides in length. Their secondary structure includes four short double-helical elements and three loops (D, anti-codon, and T loops). Lineage: Eukaryota; Fungi; Ascomycota; Eurotiomycetes; Eurotiales; Aspergillaceae. The record is from RNAcentral.
GCCCGAAUGGUCUAGUGGUAUGAUUCUUGCUUUGGGUGCAAGAGGCCCCGUGUUCGAUCCACGGUUCGGGCC